Molecule: non-coding RNA, 72 nt
Organism: Globicephala melas (long-finned pilot whale)
Lineage: Eukaryota; Metazoa; Chordata; Mammalia; Artiodactyla; Delphinidae
Source: the annotation of a RefSeq genome assembly
UCCCUGAUGGUCUAGUGGUUAGGAUUCGGCACUUUCACUGCAGAGGCCCAGGUUCAAUCCCUGGUCAGGGAA